GGAUCUGAAUGAGGAAACUCUUUAGAUUGUGCUUAAAUGCCACGUGAGAUUUUGCUUUACCUUACAGGCUUUUUGCUCUCUGCUGGGCUCUUGCUCCGGUGGGCACUUACCAUCCUGUAUGCUGUGCAGGCAGUGGGGCUUAGAGCACAGUAGCACGAGCACCGUCAUUGUACAGGUUAUCGUCCGAUGCUUUGAGCCUUUCGUUAACAAAGUGCAGCUUUUUAAACGUUAAUCACUGACAGGAGUCAUCGCAUGAAAAGAAAGGGGUUAUUUUAUAAGCACGGAUCAUUACAUGCUAAUCUCAGCAUGAUGAUGUUUCCUGCAAUGAGGAAAUUGUGUGACUGAGGUCGGUGUGGCGUUGGUGUCGGUAUCGCUUCCUUGAGGUGCGUGGCACACCCAGGGCUGGGACCGAACCCCUGCCGCUGCAUAGCCCUGGGCUGUGGCUACAGGAAGCAUUCGGCCAUACAGAAGCCUAUUUGGUGCCAGGAGCUGGGGGUGAGCAGCGGUGGAGGAAGCUCCAGUGUUGCCCUAGAGCUAUGAGAUGAGCUUCUCUUCUUUGGGGGAACAGUUAAUGGGAGGUCCGGCUCUGCGCACGUCCCCUGGAGCACAGAACAUCUCAUGGAGCAUCUGAAUUGACUCCAUGUAACCACGGCCUUUCCUGCGUUAGGAAGUUUUGCUGCCCAUAGCAUGAAGGGGGAUGGCGUGGUGCACACAGACACCACAUCACCAGUGCUGCUCUGGAGCAGGGUGUGCAUCCCUGGCGUGGCAUGGAUGACAGAGCUCAAACCCAGUGCAGCCCUUAGGUUCCCCCAGUCCCGGGGUCUGAGAAGCUGAACUUAAUCCAGCAGGAGUUCCCCUUCGUGCAGCCGCAGCACCGCCCAGCCUGCCCCCUCUGCGCAUUGCUGGAGUGCCUGCCUGCCUGCCCAGCUAUUUUUGUGCUGCACAUGGGACUGCAGGCAAGUGCUGCUUCUCUAUCGCAGACAGCUGAGAGUUUCCGUGACCUUUGACUAAGAAAUAACUGUAUCUUUCCUUGCAGCCACUCUGCACAACAGGCAGCACAUAAGAUAACAUCAGUAUUACAGUACAAAACCCAUUUUUGGCACAUUGCUUGCUUCGGUGUUGCACUUCUUUCCACUGGCUGUGAAGAGAGAAUAAAUGACACAUGUGGAACA
This 1172-nucleotide long non-coding RNA is filed under the name Chrysolophus pictus (golden pheasant). RNAcentral's name for it is "lncRNA (ENSCPIG00010010289.1)". Lineage: Eukaryota; Metazoa; Chordata; Aves; Galliformes; Phasianidae. The record is from RNAcentral.